ACUGCUCAGUAACACGUUGAUAAUCUAACCUUUGGUCUGGGAUAACCUCGGGAAACUGAGGCUAAUACCGGAUAGGAAACCAGUUCUGGAAAGAGGGAUUUCCUAAAGGCAACGCCAGAGGAUGAGUCAGCGGCAGAUUAGAUUGUUGGUGGGGUAAAGGCCCACCAAGUCUACGAUCUGUAGGGGCCUUGAGAGAGGGAGCCCCGAGAAGGGAACUGAGACACGGUCCCUAGCCCUACGGGGUGCAGCAGGCGCGAAAACUCUACAAUGCACGAAAGUGUGAUAGGGGGAUCCUGAGUGCUCAGCUUUGCUGGGCUUUUGCCAAGAUUAAAACCCUUGGCGAAUAAGUGGUGGGUAAGACUGGUGCCAGCCGCCGCGGUAACACCAGCGCCACGAGUGGCAAUCGUUUUUAUUGGGCCUAAAGCGUCCGUAGCAGGUCUUGUAAAUCUCUUGUGAGAUUGUUCAGCUCAACUGAACAACGUGCUCGAGACACUGCAUGACUAGGGACCGGGAGGAGUCAGAGGUAUUCAAUGGGGAGCGGUAAAAUGCUAUAAUCCAUUGAGGACCACCUAUAGCGAAGGCAUCUGACCAGAACGGAUCCGACUGUGAGGGACGAAAGCCAGGGGAGCGAACCGGAUUAGAUAUCAAAAAUCUCGGAUUUUUGAGUUUAGUCAAAAAUCAUCUUAGUUCAUCGUGAACAUACUACUUAUGGAUGAUUGGAAACUGAAUUUGGAGACAAUCCAAGAUCGGGAUUUUUGACUAAUUACCCGAGUAGUCCUGGCCGUAAACGCUGCGAGCUAGGUGUUGCGCAAUCUUCGAGAUUGUGCAGUAUCGAAGCGAAAGGUGUUAAGCUCGCCGCCUGGGAAGUACGGUCGCAAGGCUGAAACUUAAAGGAAUUGGCGGGGGAGCC
RNAcentral lists this ribosomal RNA (910 nucleotides) under uncultured archaeon. RNAcentral's name for it is "bacterial SSU rRNA". It matches the Rfam family "Archaeal small subunit ribosomal RNA", at positions 85 to 878 of the family's 1478-position model. The record is from RNAcentral.